CCUCCACACGCAACCUCUCAUCUCUCUCUCGUGUGCAUCUUCCUCCGGCGGCAUCUUCCCCGAGCGAGGCGGUAGCCCGGAGACGCGGCGUCCCGCCGUCUAGAUCGAACCGAGCGGGAGGGGAGAACAACCGCCGCCUUCUCAUGUUGCUCGUCUCCACCAUGCCUCAUCUGCGCCGCAUGGUGAUGACCCGCGGCAUAGCCAGCGUUGGCGGCAGUGGUCAAUCCCUCGACUUCCGUAGCUUCUAAAGGCCGACGCUAACGCGGGCCCCUCUCCCUCCAUCUGUGAGUUCCACGGUUCGUCUCUACGGUCCCGAGCCUCCAUUGUUUCCGCGAAAUCCCAACGCCGCUUUGUUUGCCCGGGCUCAGAUGCGCUGCAGAUAGGGGACCCAUGUGUUGUCUAGACUAGCUUCAAAAUCGAGCAUGGGUUAUUUGACUUUUGCAAUUGAUGGUUUAAUUGUUGAAAUUGGAGCUUCCUAGGGGCAUGUUCCUCACCGGCGUCAUGAGAGAGUGGGGCCAGGUCAAGGCUCCUUCACUUGGCCGGAUGUUCCACGAGAUGGUCCAAUGGUGGAAUACGAGAAGAGAAUUGCAUCAGGAGAUCUUGUAGAUUGCGAUAGCUUCCAGGUUAUCGAAUUUGACCUGAUCAAUGCAUUUCUUACAUGGCUUCCUUCAUUCUUGGUUAUUGAUACAUGCGCACAUGCACAUCAAAACAUUUUAAAUCGGUUGCUGCGGGUGGCGGUGCUCUGGGAGCACAAGGGUAGCGCGGUGCACAAUUCCGGUUGUUCAAGGCACUGCGGCACAGCCGUGUCGGCCUACGCGCACCCCAAGUUCUUCCACACCAACCUGACCUCCCACAAGUGAGCAUUCAGAGGUUUGGCGCCCUUGCCCAUCCAUUCUUUGAUGUGGUUUGGUGCGGUGGAGAUGUAAUUGUUUGAUAGUCUUCAGUUUGUCAGAACCACUACCGGAAUCGCACCCUAUGCCGACGGCCCUGAUUGGCUGUCGGGACAGGCCUAUGUCGACGGCCCUCGUCAGCAUAGGGUCGUCGGCAACAUAUCUGUCGGCGUAGCUCGGGACGCCAUCGACAUAGGCCCUAUCCCGACGGUGCCCAUACAUCUAUGCCGACGGCCUUGGCCGUCGGCAACGUUACCGCCUAACGGCAGCCGCCGUCAAGUGCUGACCAACGGCUGCUCACUACAUGGCGCAUCUAUGUCGAUGGCCCGGCCGUCGGCUUAGUUUGAAACUAUGCCGACGGCUAGACUGUCAGCAUAGAUGCGCCACGUGUCAGCAUCUGGGCACUCCUGGGGCAGGGCUAUGCCGACGGCCCGACCGUCGGCUUAGUUGGAUCGGAGUGGUCGGGCUACAUGACUCGGGAGUGCUGCGAAGACCACCGCCAACGGUUGAUCUACCGGUUCCCUAGAUGUUGAAAAGACAUAUUAACGGGAUACAUGACUGUGUUGAAAGGCAUGAUAUGCUUCGGGUGAAUAGAUUGGGGAUGAACUAACCGGUGAGGGACCAGCGUUCUGUGCCACAAACUCCUCAAAGGUCAGCAGCCUUGGUUGUGCUGGAGGACAUUGUGCUAGUUGCAAUUGAGGACACCUGCCGGCCGCCAUUUCCUGAAAAGCGUGCUGCAUCUGGCGAUCCCUCUGCUCAUGGUAUGCAUAAAGGCUCUCGUGCCACGCCAUGGUCUCCUGGCGUGUGUACUCCAGGUAGGCCUACUAAAUGCGGAAAAUAAAGUGAGAAAUGAAGAUAAGAGGGAAAAUACUUAUAGAUUGUCGCUCCUGAAAAAGGGACUAUGACUGUGCACUCGUCAUUGAUGUGCUCGUGUGCUAGCUCAGGCUCGGGUCGAUUCGACAGAGUUGUGUGUAGGAGAUAGUAGGAGUGAUCACAGCGUCGAGAACCGCCUCCCGACCAUGCUCCUUGGGCCCCAUGCCCACCACCACCCUAUCAUCCAAAUCUGCCGCAAUGGGGUCAGGUGUGUCAGGAUGUAACCUUAGACCCAUCGAGGUAGGCUUUCUUCCUCUCUGCGGUCUUCUUGCCGUAGUACUUGGGCUCGCCAGGCUUGGAGUCCUUCCGCGUAUGGGCGAUCUCCCACGCCUCCAUGUGUGAGAGCGGUCGCUUCAGUUUCUCCUCCUGGACCACCAAACAGAGGUUAGUCAUACAUAAGAAAGUGACGGUAAAUAGAAGAAGAAUGUUUAAUGGGGUUAGUCAUACAUUAAGUGUCUUGUGGAGAAAGUGGUUUUGGUUUCCCUGAGCAUGUACUCCCUCCUUCCCUCCGUUAGCCUUGUUUUUGAUUCUCGUAGCCGCCCAGGCUCCAGCCUCAUCACACCAAAGAUCCACCAAUGCCGCUCAGGACUCGUCUUUUCCAUAACACCAAAGAUCCACCAAUGCCACCCGGCACACGGCGGCAGCGACGCUCGUGAGGGGGGCGCUCCCCGGAGCCACGUGUCGGGUGCCUGCGCCUGCCACCAUGCUUCCACAACCGUAAGAGGGCCCACCGCACCACCUGGCGGCAUUGCUUCCCCCCCAGGUACCUCGUCCCGUCUAACCCAUGACACAGACGACCGCCGGGUCUAGCCCUUUGACUUUUGAUGGACGUAGUUUGAUCGGUGGACCUUUUCACCUAGUUGUCAUAGCCCAGCCAUAGCUACACCCCCCAACACAGUCCCGGCACAACCCACCCAAGAUUCCCUCCGCGUCGGCCCGACGUGGCCGUUUCCCCCUUCGGGGCACGGCGACAGCGACACCCAUGAGGGGGGGAGGGGGGCACACCCCGGAGCCGCGUGUCGGGUGCCUACGCCUGCCACCACGUUUCCACAACCGUAGGAGGGCCCACCGCAACACCUAGCGGCAUUGCUACCCCCCACAGGUACCCCGUCCCGUCUAACCUCUCCGUGACACGACGGAAGCAAGGCCCGUGUGGGGGGUAAUUGAUAUAUGUUUUCUGUACAUUUAAGUUAAUGAAAUUAGUUUUGGAAAAAAUAAAAAGAAAAAGAAAAAAUAAAUAAAAUAUUAAAAUAUUAUUAGAAAUCUAUGCCUACGGCAAAGCCGUCGGCAUAGCUACGGCCACGGAACGGCAGAGCCUUGGAUCGAUGACAUGGCGUAGGGCGGGGAUCGAUGAUGUGGCAAAAUCCAUGGGCCAGGCCUAUGCCGACGGUAAGGACGUCGGCAUAGAUAUGCCACCCCACGGGACCGGCGAACGACGCGGAUCGAUGACGUGGCGGCGCUGUGGAUCGAUGACGUCGGCAUAGCUAUGCCGACGGUCACCGUUAGCCCGUCGGCGUAGCCUGACGCCGUCAAACGGUCGUCGCUGCCCGAGUAGACGGGCCCACGUGAUAUGCCGACGGCUGCCGUAGGCAUAUUUGAAGCAACACCGACGGCUGAUCUAUGCCGACGGCCCCCGUUGGCAUAGAUGGACAUACGCCGACGGCCUUUCUAUGCCGACGGCUUUAGCUGGGCCGUCGGGGUAUGCCCAUCUAUGCCAACGGGGGCCGUCGGCAACGCAAGUUUUUCUGGUAGUGAACAGAGGGUACCAGGUAACUACAAGAUGCAUUGCUUGCUGGUUUGUCACCAUAUUUAACCUGAUGGGAGAUAAUAUGAAUACCUUGCUGGUUUGGUAUGAUAUUUGGCCUGAGUGGAGAUAAGAUGAAUUGCUUGCUGGUUUAUCUGAGUAACUUGGUUGCACUGAUAAUAAAAGCACAUGUUAUCCAUUUCUCCCUUGCUAUUUCUGUUUGGGGAAGAUUAUAGUUUGACCACUCAGUAGAAAUCAAAUGCUUCACAUUGGAAUGUUUGUUGGAUAAGAAGGUAGAAAAACUAAACGGUGUUGCACUCUCAUGGCUUUUCUUCUUUAUUAUGUUUGGUGUUCAAGAUACUUAUGCGGUUAUGCCACCAUGUAAAAUAUUUAUACUUCUCUCUUGGUGUGCAGCUAUAUCUGAAAUUCUUGAUAAUGCAGUAGAUCAGGUUUGUAAUAUCUUCUAACAUCUUAUAUGAACUAGAUACUCGCUAUUUAAAUUGCGUGAUAAUACUCAAAUGUCCGAAACACGUAGUAUUCUGUUGUAAGCUGAAAAUUUGAGAUGACACAUUCCUGUUUCUGGAAAAACCAUGCUAUACUGCUAUCACAUCUAUUUAUUUAUUUUGCUGUAUUCGUGUAUUAUAACAUAAAUGCUCUGUUGAUCAGCAUGUUAAUAACUUCACUCCCUAACAUAUGCUCAUAACUGAUGGCGGCGACAUGGAACAACACUUCUGUGCGAUUGGUACUGUAAAUUUGGGAACUGAAAUAAUUAUAACCAGUGUUACAAAUGUUUGUUGAGGAAAAGUCCUUGCAGCAAACAAGGACCGGAAGCAGGUUUCCUAUUUUGACCAGCAUUUUCUUUUGUUCCUAAUUGUUGGCUCUUUCCUAUGGAAGCUCUGAAACAAAAUGAAGUGGCCUAAAAUUAAGGACUAAUGCUUGAUAUCUGAUUUGAGAAAACUGAUUCACAGAAUAUAAGUAGAAGGUAGACUGUAGCAUUCAUCAUUGUUAUCUUACAUAGACAGUUCAACGAACUUCUCCGAGGGGAUAUUCAGAAUGAUGACGGCGACAACCAAGACGGCGUCUGUGAAGUUUUGCUGGAGAGCCUGAAGUCAGGGUGCGUUCAAUCGAGCACACUCGCUUCUUUCAGAAUUCGUAUAAUCAUCAUAACCAGCCAUGCCAAAGAUAUGAAGUGGAACACAUUUGCAGGGAGGGAAGUUGAGAAGCCAGGACACCAACGGUGCCAAGCCGUUUGCCAUCGAGAGGACAAGGGCUGCCAUCAGGGACCUCCAGACCAAGCUCAACAUCUCCCUCGCCUCCGUCAGCCCCGUGUCUCAAGAGGGUUGUUGCCGUUGCCGUCCGCGAUGGCUGGCAAGGAUGUGGCGAGUCAUCGGCUACACGCACCGGGUGAUGAAGCGCAUGGAGGACGAGGCAAGCGCGCGGAAGCAUCAAGGGCCUGCCGCCACCGCCGGGGCCGACUUCCACGGAAUUUCUAUUGAUGUAGUUUAUCUUGCCAAACAGCAAGAUGCUCCUGUCGAUGCUUGCCUAUGAUGGCAUGGCAUUUCAGCUUCUUCCUCGCAUGAUUUUCCAAUAUAAUAAGUUUAUCAAGAAUUGCAUGUACAUGUGCUGCUAUCCAGAUUCAGAAAGGAAAGUGAAAAAGGCGUU
This is a long non-coding RNA of Triticum urartu, 5169 nucleotides long. RefSeq lists it as uncharacterized. The record is from RefSeq and is a predicted model, not a curated record. NCBI's taxonomy places the organism in Eukaryota, Viridiplantae, Streptophyta, Magnoliopsida, Poales, Poaceae.